CCUACGGGAGUCAGCAGUGAGGAAUAUUGGUCAAUGGACGAGAGUCUGAACCAGCCAAGUAGCGUGAAGGAUGACUGCCCUAUGGGUUGUAAACUUCUUUUAUAUGGGAAUAAAACGUUCCACGUGUGGGAUUUUGUAUGUACCAUAUGAAUAAGGAUCGGCUAACUCCGUGCCAGCAGCCGCGGUAAUACGGAGGAUCCGAGCGUUAUCCGGAUUUAUUGGGUUUAAAGGGAGCGUAGAUGGAUUGUUAAGUCAGUUGUGAAAGUUUGCGGCUCAACCGUAAAAUUGCAGUUGAAACUGGCAGUCUUGAGUACAGUAGAGGUGGGCGGAAUGCGUGGUGUAGCGGUGAAAUGCUUAGAUAUCACGAAGAACUCCGAUUGCGAAGGCAGUUCACUGGACUGCAACUGACACUGAGGCUCGAAAGUGUGGGUAUCAAACAGGAUUAGAUACCCGGGUAGUC
RNAcentral lists this ribosomal RNA (460 nucleotides) under uncultured bacterium. RNAcentral describes it as "partial 16S ribosomal RNA". It matches the Rfam family "Bacterial small subunit ribosomal RNA", at positions 338 to 795 of the family's 1533-position model. The record is from RNAcentral.